GAGCGAAGCGGGAAGAGCUCAAAUUUAUAAUCUGGCACCUUCGGUGUCCGAGUUGUAAUCUCUAGAAGUGUUUUCCGCGUUGGACCGCACACAAGUCUGUUGGAAUACAGCGGCAUAGUGGUGAAACCCCCGUAUAUGGUGCGGACGCCCAGCGCUUUGUGAUACACUUUCAAUGAGUCGAGUUGUUUGGGAAUGCAGCUCAAAUUGGGUGGUAAAUUCCAUCUAAAGCUAAAUAUUGGCGAGAGACCGAUAGCGAACAAGUACCGUGAGGGAAAGAUGAAAAGCACUUUGGAAAGAGAGUUAACAGUACGUGAAAUUGUUGGAAGGGAAACGCUUGAAGUCAGACUUGCUUGCCGGAGCUUGCUUCGGUUUGCAGGCCAGCAUCAGUUUUCCGGGGUGGAUAAUGACGGUUUGAAGGUAGCAGUCUCGGCUGUGUUAUAGCUUUCCGUUGGAUACAUCCUGGGGGACUGAGGAACGCAGCGUGCUUUUUGCGAAAGACUCGUCUUUUUCACGCUUAGGAUGCUGGUGGAAUGGCUUUAAACGACCCGU
This 549-nucleotide ribosomal RNA is filed under the name Rhodotorula graminis. RNAcentral describes it as "eukaryotic LSU rRNA". It matches the Rfam family "Eukaryotic large subunit ribosomal RNA", at positions 91 to 652 of the family's 3401-position model. The record is from RNAcentral. Lineage: Eukaryota; Fungi; Basidiomycota; Microbotryomycetes; Sporidiobolales; Sporidiobolaceae.